GACGAACGCUGGCGGCGUGCUUAACACAUGCAAGUCGAACGGAAAGGCCUGCUUUCCCUUGUGGAUUGCGGGUACUCGAGUGGCGAAUGGGUGAGUAACACGUGAGUGAUCUGCCCCCAACUUGGGUAUAAGCCUGGGAAACUGGGUCUAAUUCCCGAUAGGACUGCAGGGUGGUGCCUGUGGUGGAAAACGAUUUUCUAGUGGUUGGGGAUGAGCUCGCGGCCUAUCAGCUUGUUGGUGGGGUAAUGGCCUACCAAGGCGGCGACGGGUAGCCGGCCUGAGAGGGUGGACGGCCACAGUGGGACUGAGAUACGGCCCAGACUCCUACGGGAGGCAGCAGUGGGGAAUAUUGCACAAUGGGCGGAAGCCUGAUGCAGCGACGCCGCGUGGGGGAUGACGGCCUUCGGGUUGUAAACUCCUUUCGACCGCGAGGAAGCCACCUGGUUGGAAGGGUGGUGACGGUAGUGGUAGAAGAAGCACCGGCUAACUACGUG
This 494-nucleotide ribosomal RNA is filed under the name uncultured bacterium. Its description in RNAcentral is "partial 16S ribosomal RNA". It matches the Rfam family "Bacterial small subunit ribosomal RNA", at positions 28 to 507 of the family's 1533-position model. The record is from RNAcentral.